RNAcentral lists this ribosomal RNA (766 nucleotides) under Chaetoceros socialis. Its description in RNAcentral is "eukaryotic LSU rRNA". It matches the Rfam family "Eukaryotic large subunit ribosomal RNA", at positions 72 to 855 of the family's 3401-position model. Lineage: Eukaryota; Bacillariophyta; Thalassiosirophyceae; Chaetocerotales; Chaetocerotaceae. The record is from RNAcentral.
UGAUUCCCUCAGUAACGGCGAGUGAAGCGGGAAGAGCUCAUUCUGUGAAUCUGUAUGCUCUUUUGGUAUACCGAGUUGUAGAAUAUAGAAGCACAUCAGUGCGAAUUCCGGUCUAAGUCUCUUGGAAAAGAGCAGCUAAGAGGGUGAGACUCCCGUUCUUGGCUGGAAUUCAAACUUUAGCAUGUGGUUUCGACGAGUCGAGUUGCUUGGGAUUGCAGCUCAAAGUUGGUGGUAAAUUCCAUCUAAAGCUAAAUAUCGGUGGGAGACCGAUAGCGUACAAGUACCGUGAGGGAAAGAUGCAAAGAACUUUGAAAAAAGAGUUAAAGAGUACCUGAAAUUGCUGAAAUGGAAGCGAAGGAAACCAGUGCCGUUCUGUAUCAUUCUUCCGUCCUUGCUUGCGAGGGUGGCGCUGUGAUGCAGGAUAGGCCAGCGUGGGUUUGAGCCGAAGGAAGCAGCUCUUCAGGAGGCAGCGCAAUUUCUGUGCGAUUACUGUUGAGCUUUGCUUCGGCUUGGACUGAGGCUAGUCACUUGUGCUCGUGACGCUGGCGAAAUGGUUUUCUUUACCCCGUCUUGAAACACGGACCAAGGAGUCUAACAUAUGUGCGAGUAUAUGAGUGACAAACUCACAUGCGAAAUGAAAGUAACAGUGGUUGGACCUUCUGGGCACAAUCCGCCGGCCACAAUCCUUCGGGAGAAAGGUCUGAGUGUGAGCAUACAUGUUGGGACCCGAAAGAUGGUGAACUAUGCCUGAAUAGGGUGAAGCCGC